Molecule: ribosomal RNA, 370 nt
Filed under: uncultured Porphyrobacter sp.
Lineage: Bacteria; Pseudomonadati; Pseudomonadota; Alphaproteobacteria; Sphingomonadales; Erythrobacteraceae
Description: bacterial SSU rRNA
Rfam family: Bacterial small subunit ribosomal RNA
Source: RNAcentral
UUUCUUCCCUUCGGGGACCUAGUGACAGGUGCUGCAUGGCUGUCGUCAGCUCGUGUCGUGAGAUGUUGGGUUAAGUCCCGCGACGAGCGCAACCCUCGUCCUUAGUUGCCAUCAUUAAGUUGGGCACUUUAAGGAAACUGCCGGUGAUAAGCCGGAGGAAGGUGGGGAUGACGUCAAGUCCUCAUGGCCCUUACAGGCUGGGCUACACACGUGCUACAAUGGCAUCUACAGUGGGCAGCUAUUCCGCAAGGAUGCGCUAAUCUCCAAAAGAUGUCUCAGUUCGGAUUGUCCUCUGCAACUCGAGGGCAUGAAGGCGGAAUCGCUAGUAAUCGCGGAUCAGCAUGCCGCGGUGAAUACGUUCCCAGGCCUU